UACGAGGGGGGCGAGCGUUGUUCGGAAUUAUUGGGCGUAAAGGGUGCGUAGGCGGUUUGGUAAGUCUGAUGUGAAAUCUAUGGGCUCAACUCAUAGUCUGCAUCGGAAACUGCCGGGCUUGAGUGUGGGAGAGGUGAGUGGAAUUCCUAGUGUAGCGGUGAAAUGCGUAGAUAUCAGGAGGAACACCUGUGGCGAAAGCGGCUCACUGGACCAUAACUGACGCUGAUGCACGAAAGCUAGGGGAGCAAACAGG
Molecule: ribosomal RNA, 253 nt
Filed under: uncultured bacterium
Lineage: Bacteria
Description: partial 16S ribosomal RNA
Rfam family: Bacterial small subunit ribosomal RNA
Source: RNAcentral